RNAcentral lists this ribosomal RNA (219 nucleotides) under uncultured bacterium. Its description in RNAcentral is "partial 16S ribosomal RNA". It matches the Rfam family "Bacterial small subunit ribosomal RNA", at positions 524 to 741 of the family's 1533-position model. The record is from RNAcentral.
UACGAAGGGUGCAAGCGUUACUCGGAAUUACUGGGCGUAAAGCGUGCGUAGGUGGUGAGUUAAGUCUGUCGUGAAAGCCCCGGGCUCAACCUGGGAAUGGCGAUGGAUACUGGCUCGCUAGAGUGCGGUAGAGGAGAGUGGAAUUCCCGGUGUAGCAGUGAAAUGCGUAGAGAUCGGGGAGGAACAUCAGUUGCGAAGGCGGCUCUCUGGACCAGCACU